GGAAAGGCUGCGGCUCAGUGGUAGAACCUUUGCUCGGCAUGCAGAAGGUGCCUGGUUCAAUCCCUGAUAUCUCCA
This 75-nucleotide transfer RNA is filed under the name Sphaerodactylus townsendi. RNAcentral's name for it is "tRNA-Ala". The record is from RNAcentral. Lineage: Eukaryota; Metazoa; Chordata; Lepidosauria; Squamata; Sphaerodactylidae.